GUCACAUCCUCCCAUAGCAACAAAGAGCCAACAAACACAGCCAGGGCUGAAGGCAGAAGAGAGGCAGAAAACGAGUAAUGGGGCAUCCUGGAGCGAGAAUGCUUUUCUUCCACUGUUGCAGGAGGAAACUAGCUGAGGUGGAAGUAAGAACAGGGAAGAGAAGGCUUAAGGAUGAAAGAGAAGAAUUAAAAGAAUGGAAGGAAUCUUCCUCUGCAUAAGUCUUUUCCUUGAGUCAACUUCAACCCUACUGGUGGGUCAUAAGCCUUGAAGAAGGAUUGAGUUUUUUAUAUAGCCCAGUUGACGACUGGCCUCCAAGGAAAAACAAUUGGAAAGAAGACUGGAAGUCCUAGCCAGGAACAGAUUUGUGAGCAAAGGAAAUCAGCCAGAAGAACUGAUGCUUCAGGUACCAAGUCUCUUCAAUUGGUGCCAACAAUCUGGAAGGCCAGGAAUAUGAAAAUCUUGACUGUGUUUGCGAACUCCUGGAAGGAAUGGUUGAUAGGGAAGUCUGAGCCUAAGUACCUGGAUAUUCUCUUAGAACACCUGGGUUUAGGGUGUAACUAUAAACAGGGUAAGAGUUACCUGGGUCUAGAGGUGUCAUGGACUCACAACCAUCACAAUAGUUGUUUCAAUGUAUUUUGUUUUACUUCCUUUGUUUCUAUAGGUAUGAAUAAAGAAUGGCAUCCAGUUAAA
Long non-coding RNA from Phascolarctos cinereus (koala), 690 nucleotides. RefSeq lists it as uncharacterized. The record is from RefSeq and is a predicted model, not a curated record. Lineage: Eukaryota; Metazoa; Chordata; Mammalia; Diprotodontia; Phascolarctidae.